UAGGAGUUGGGAUGAAGAAGUUAUCCCACUUUUAAAUCAGGUAAUUCCAGUUUCGCAGUUUCGGAAUAGGAUAUCUUCUUCGUCGUUCCAAUCAAGGCAGGAUGAAUUACUUUCUAAGAAGCUUGAUUUGGAUACAUAAAGUGUUUGAGAAUCACCAGGACGUUGAAUAAAUCUCAUAGGAGUUGGGAUGAAGAAGUUAUCCCACUUUCAAAUUAGGUGAUUCCAGUUUCCCAGUUAAGGAAUAGGACAGCUUCUUCGUCGUUCCAAUCAAACCAGGAUGAAUCACUUUGUAAGAAGCUUGAUUUGGAUACAUAACGUGGUGGAGAAUCACCAGGAAGUUAAAU
Brassica rapa (field mustard) is the source of this 344-nucleotide long non-coding RNA. RefSeq lists it as uncharacterized. The record is from RefSeq and is a predicted model, not a curated record. NCBI's taxonomy places the organism in Eukaryota, Viridiplantae, Streptophyta, Magnoliopsida, Brassicales, Brassicaceae.